CGCGGAGUAGAACAGCAUUGAUAGUUCGCAAGGUUGAUAACCUUGAGGUCACGGGUUCAAAUCCCGUCUCCGCAA
This 75-nucleotide transfer RNA is filed under the name Erodium texanum. Its description in RNAcentral is "tRNA-Met". It matches the Rfam family "tRNA". From Rfam's summary of the family: Transfer RNA (tRNA) molecules are approximately 80 nucleotides in length. Their secondary structure includes four short double-helical elements and three loops (D, anti-codon, and T loops). Lineage: Eukaryota; Viridiplantae; Streptophyta; Magnoliopsida; Geraniales; Geraniaceae. The record is from RNAcentral.